This 253-nucleotide ribosomal RNA is filed under the name uncultured bacterium. Its description in RNAcentral is "partial 16S ribosomal RNA". It matches the Rfam family "Bacterial small subunit ribosomal RNA", at positions 524 to 776 of the family's 1533-position model. The record is from RNAcentral.
GACAGAGGGUGCGAACGUUGUUCGGAAUUACUGGGCGUAAAGGGCGCGUAGGCGGCUUAUCAAGUCAGGCGUGAAAUUCCCGGGCUCAACCUGGGGGCUGCGCUUGAUACUGAUUGGCUUGAAUGCGGGAGAGGAUAGUGGAAUUCCCAGUGUAGAGGUGAAAUUCGUAGAUAUUGGGAAGAACACCGGUGGCGAAGGCGGCUAUCUGGCCCGUAAUUGACGCUGAGGCGCGAAAGCGUGGGGAGCAAACAGG